This 158-nucleotide ribosomal RNA is filed under the name Aster tataricus. RNAcentral's name for it is "5.8S ribosomal RNA". It matches the Rfam family "5.8S ribosomal RNA". From Rfam's summary of the family: 5.8S ribosomal RNA (5.8S rRNA) is a component of the large subunit of the eukaryotic ribosome. Lineage: Eukaryota; Viridiplantae; Streptophyta; Magnoliopsida; Asterales; Asteraceae. The record is from RNAcentral.
ACGACUCUCGGCAACGGAUAUCUCGGCUCACGCAUCGAUGAAGAACGUAGCAAAAUGCGAUACUUGGUGUGAAUUGCAGAAUCCCGUGAACCAUCGAGUUUUUGAACGCAAGUUGCGCCCGAAGCCAUUCGGCUGAGGGCACGUCUGCCUGGGCGUCA